AAGGAAUAUUGGUCAAUGGACGCAAGUCUGAACCAGCCAUGCCGCGUGGAGGAUUAAGGCCCUCUGGGUUGUAAACUCCUUUUAUCUGGGAAGAAAUGUACUUUUUCUUGAGUACUUGACGGUACCAGAGGAAUAAGCACCGGCUAACUCCGUGCCAGCAGCCGCGGUAAUACGGAGGGUGCAAGCGUUAUCCGGAUUCACUGGGUUUAAAGGGUGCGUAGGUGGGCAGGUAAGUCAGUGGUGAAAUCUCCGGGCUUAACCCGGAAACUGCCGUUGAUACUAUUUGUCUUGAAUAUUGUGGAGGUGAGCGGAAUAUGUCAUGUAGCGGUGAAAUGCUUAGAUAUGACAUAGAACACCAAUUGCGAAGGCAGCUUACUACACAAUCAUUGACGCUGAGGCACGAAAGCGUGGGGAUCAAACA
RNAcentral lists this ribosomal RNA (421 nucleotides) under uncultured bacterium. RNAcentral's name for it is "bacterial SSU rRNA". It matches the Rfam family "Bacterial small subunit ribosomal RNA", at positions 356 to 774 of the family's 1533-position model. The record is from RNAcentral.